Molecule: transfer RNA, 68 nt
Filed under: Ips calligraphus
Lineage: Eukaryota; Metazoa; Arthropoda; Insecta; Coleoptera; Curculionidae
Description: tRNA-Phe
Source: RNAcentral
AUUUUUAUAGCUUAAAAAAUAGAGCAUAGUAUUGAAGAUACUAGGGUAACAUUGAGUGUUUGAAAAUA